Long non-coding RNA from Pararge aegeria (speckled wood butterfly), 439 nucleotides. RefSeq lists it as uncharacterized. Lineage: Eukaryota; Metazoa; Arthropoda; Insecta; Lepidoptera; Nymphalidae. The record is from RefSeq and is a predicted model, not a curated record. The transcript has 2 exons.
ACUACGAACGCUUCGCUCGACAAUUAAAUGUUUUUUAAAGUUUUUGGCUAAGGUUUAUAUAAACUAUGACUAUAAAAUUGCCUUCUCUUUUUCAUGUAUUAGGUGUACUUCUUAUAUUGGUACUAAUUCAGAAUGAAUUGUGUGCAGAAGUAGGAAAUUCCGACAAUCAUGACCCGAAUGAUGAAGUGGCCUACCGAAGUGCAAUGGUGCCAACAUGGCCGAUUGAGGAAAACGAACGCGUCUGCACAAAUACUAACUGUCAGCGUAUAUGCAAAGCUUUAACCUACAGGAUUGGACGUUGUAACAAAAAUGGAGUUUGCGUUUGCUAUCGCUAAAACAUAAAAAUAUACUUAUUAUUUUAAGGAUCUAUUGUUAUAUUGCUAUGUUGCAUCCCAAAAUAUUCUUCCCCGUAGAUAAUAAAUGUUUACAUAAAAAUUAA